AGAUAUUAAAAGCAAGAGACAUGGGAGAGCAUCAUUCCUUUGAGAUUUUAUAAAUCAAACCAACUUUGGAGUUGUCUGAUUUGGAGAGUCAUUAUUCUUGGUCUUCGCUCUUAGAGGCCACUGAUGAAGAACAGGCGGUGACUGGGAUGAAUCCUGGUCAGAGAGGAGAAUCUUCUUUCCCCUAAACAGCGGUGGUUUUAAAGGAGGACGCUGCCCUGGAUGAUGUAGAAGAUGUCACAUGCUGUGCUGAUGGGGUUUCUUCAUGAUUACAUCAGUUAUGCUAAAGAGAUCAUGAAAAUUGACCGUGAUGCAUGAUCUGUAUUCAUGGACUAUGAAACAAACUGUAAGUGUAUAAUUUGUUAAAAAAAAAAAAAAGUUAAAUGCUUUUUCUGUGUGUUUAGUAGAAGAGUUUACACUCGGUCAUUCAUACACCUGCUCACAUUCUUUCACACACACACACACACACAUGCGUCUGUUAAAUGUUAUAAUAUCAAAGUUAAUGUUGUGAUUUAUUUGUGUACUGUCAUGCCAGAAUAGUUUGAAAGAACCUAACUAAUUGUAAAUUUAUUGUAUGUGUUUUCGUAUAUUUUUAUACAAUAUAUACAAUUGAACAAAGUCCAAUUUGAUCCUGAGUUAUAUUUAUCAAAUGUUCAAUGCUUU
Long non-coding RNA from Carassius gibelio (silver crucian carp), 660 nucleotides. RefSeq lists it as uncharacterized. The transcript is spliced from 3 exons. The record is from RefSeq and is a predicted model, not a curated record. Lineage: Eukaryota; Metazoa; Chordata; Actinopteri; Cypriniformes; Cyprinidae.